Molecule: long non-coding RNA, 853 nt
Organism: Coregonus clupeaformis (lake whitefish)
Lineage: Eukaryota; Metazoa; Chordata; Actinopteri; Salmoniformes; Salmonidae
Exons: 2
Source: RefSeq, a predicted model, not a curated record
GAACUUCGAUAGGCCCAGGUGCUCAACACAAAAGCAAAAGAGGACAGGACAUUGUUAGACCGCCUGACAAGGUUUUCUGACUGGAAAAGAGCCGUCAAAGCUAUUGCUCGUCUUAAGCGCCAUGCUAAGCAAAUCAAGGGUCUCAAACUUAAAACAAAUGAAGCCACAAGUGUUGAGGAAAGACAGGAAGCAGAGCUUUUCAUCAUCAAAUUGGUUCAAACGGAAGUAUUCAGCACUGAAAUCAAUGGAGAUUAGCAAGAGUAGCACAGGUGUACCCUAGCACUGAUGGAAGAGUCAGAAAGGUAAAACUGUUAAUUAGUGACUCAACCUUAGAUAACCAGGGAAAACGCACUACAAAGCCAGUCUAUCUUGACAGGCCUGUAUACAAGACAGUUUUACUGCUUGAAGCAGAAUGAAUGUUAUGGUUAUUUUGUGAGGUGAAAUCCCAAAGGAUGUGAUUUGGUGGGAGUUUAACUGCCAUAAAUGUUAUUCAUGUCAUUAUUAAUGUUAUUCAUGUCAUUAUUAAUAGGUUUUACAUAAUAUCAUUAUUAUUUGUACAACUUGUAUUUUGAAUAUUGAUUUUGCUUGUAUUUAUGUGAUAGGAACUAUCUGUACAUUCUAUGUUGUGUUGGGACGCUUUUAGUGGUGACAAGUUCCAGACAUCGCGGUAAAGUAGCGGCGGUAAAGUUUAGUACUCUGAAAGAUAAGUUAAAUUAACGACGUGUUUAUUUACAAGUAUUCUUGUUUCUAAGUGGACCCAUUUCCCUCUCAGUUGUGUGCAGCCAGCGAGUUCGACGGUGGAUUGAUGACGGUGGAGAAUUUAGUAGAAGAAUAAAUCCAUCAGUAACCAGAA